This 73-nucleotide transfer RNA is filed under the name Acromyrmex echinatior (Panamanian leafcutter ant). It matches the Rfam family "tRNA". From Rfam's summary of the family: Transfer RNA (tRNA) molecules are approximately 80 nucleotides in length. Lineage: Eukaryota; Metazoa; Arthropoda; Insecta; Hymenoptera; Formicidae. The record is from Rfam by way of RNAcentral.
GUCUCGGUAGUCUAAAGACUCAGGACGCUUGCACGGAAUGCAAGAGAUCCGGGUUCGACUCCCGGCCGAGGCA